GGCUAGAUGGCUCAGUGGUUAAGAGCACUGACUGUUCUUCCAGAGGUCCUGAGUUCAAAUCCCAGCAACCA
RNAcentral lists this transfer RNA (71 nucleotides) under Mus musculus (house mouse). RNAcentral describes it as "tRNA-Asn". The record is from RNAcentral. Lineage: Eukaryota; Metazoa; Chordata; Mammalia; Rodentia; Muridae.